RNAcentral lists this ribosomal RNA (543 nucleotides) under Macrophthalmus malaccensis. RNAcentral's name for it is "partial 16S rRNA". It matches the Rfam family "Archaeal large subunit ribosomal RNA", at positions 1890 to 2694 of the family's 2987-position model. Lineage: Eukaryota; Metazoa; Arthropoda; Malacostraca; Decapoda; Macrophthalmidae. The record is from RNAcentral.
GUCUUUUUGAAAAUAAAAAAAGUCAAGCCUGCCCACUGAUGUUUUAAGGGCCGCGGUAUUUUGACCGUGCGAAGGUAGCGUAAUCAUUAGUUUUUUAAUUGGAAUCUUGUAUGAAUGGUUAGACAAGGGAAAAUCUGUCUCUUUAUUAAAAAUUUAAUUUAACUUUUAAGUGAAAAGGCUUAAAUUAAUUAAAGGGACGAUAAGACCCUAUAAAGCUUAAUAUAAAAUACUAUUUUAUUGAGUUAGAUUUAUAAAGAUUUUAUAGUAUGAAUUAUUUUAUUGGGGCGAUAAGAGUAAAAUGUUUUGUAACUGCUUAACAACAAUACACUUUAAUUGUAAUAAUUAGAUAAAAGAUCCUGAGUACGGAUUAAAAGUUUAAGUUACUUUAGGGAUAACAGCGUUAUUUUUUUUGAGAGUACAUAUCGAAAAAAGAGUUUGCGACCUCGAUGUUGAAUUAAAAUUUCUUUAUAGAAGCAGAAACUAUAAAAGUGGGUCUGUUCGACCUUUAAAAUUUUACAUGAUUUGAGUUCAAACCGGCGUGAG